ACGGGAGGCAGCAGUGGGGAAUAUUGCGCAAUGGGCGAAAGCCUGACGCAGCGACGCCGCGUGAGGGAUGACGGCCUUCGGGUUGUAAACCUCUUUCGCCAGGGACGAAGCGAGAGUGACGGUACCUGGAGAAGAAGCACCGGCUAACUACGUGCCAGCAGCCGCGGUAAUACGUAGGGUGCGAGCGUUGUCCGGAAUUAUUGGGCGUAAAGAGCUCGUAGGCGGUUUGUUGCGUCGGCCGUGAAAACUUCACGCUUAACGUGGAGCUUGCGGUCGAUACGGGCAGACUUGAGUUCGGUAGGGGAGACUGGAAUUCCUGGUGUAGCGGUGAAAUGCGCAGAUAUCAGGAGGAACACCGGUGGCGAAGGCGGGUCUCUGGGCCGAUACUGACGCUGAGGAGCGAAAGCGUGGGGAGCGAACAGGAUUAGAUACCCUGGUA
This 439-nucleotide ribosomal RNA is filed under the name uncultured Actinomycetales bacterium. RNAcentral's name for it is "bacterial SSU rRNA". It matches the Rfam family "Bacterial small subunit ribosomal RNA", at positions 341 to 792 of the family's 1533-position model. Lineage: Bacteria; Bacillati; Actinomycetota; Actinomycetes; Actinomycetales. The record is from RNAcentral.